GGGCAGUGGUAGCUCAGUGGUUAAGAUGUUGGCCUACAGAUCGGAAGGUCGCGAGUUCAAAUACCAGCACUGCCCA
Molecule: non-coding RNA, 76 nt
Organism: Ameiurus melas (black bullhead)
Lineage: Eukaryota; Metazoa; Chordata; Actinopteri; Siluriformes; Ictaluridae
Source: the annotation of a GenBank genome assembly